Molecule: ribosomal RNA, 394 nt
Filed under: uncultured bacterium
Lineage: Bacteria
Description: bacterial SSU rRNA
Rfam family: Bacterial small subunit ribosomal RNA
Source: RNAcentral
GACGAACGCUGGCGGCGCGCUUAACACAUGCAAGUCGAGCGAGAACCGGGACUUCGGUCCCGGGGACAGCGGCGAACGGGUGAGUAACACGUGGGUAAUCUGCCCUCGAUUCUGGGAUAGCCCGGGGAAACCCGGAUUAAUACCGGAUAGCCUUUCGAGCCUUCGGGCGCGAAAGAAAAGGUAGCUUCGGCCUCCGAUCGAGGAUGAGCCCGCGGUGGAUUAGCUUGUUGGCGGGGUAAUGGCCCACCAAGGCGACGAUCCAUAGCUGGUCUGAGAGGACGAUCAGCCACACUGGGACUGAGACACGGCCCAGACUCCUACGGGAGGGCAGCAGUGGGGAAUCUUGCGCAAUGGGCGAAAGCCUGACGCAGCGACGCCGCGUGGGGAAGAAGGC